CAGUCGCCGCGGUAAUACAGAGGGUGCAAGCGUUAAUCGGAAUUACUGGGCGUAAAGCGCGCGUAGGUGGUUUGUUAAGUUGGAUGUGAAAGCCCCGGGCUCAACCUGGGAACUGCAUCCAAAACUGGCAAGCUAGAGUACGGUAGAGGGUGGUGGAAUUUCCGGUGUAGCGGUGAAAUGCGUAGAUAUAUGAAGGAACACCAGUGGCGAAGGCGACCACCUGGACUGAUACUGACACUGAGGUGCGAAAGCGUGGGGAGCAAACAGGAUUAGAUACCCCCGUAGUCCCUGUCUCUUAUAC
This 301-nucleotide ribosomal RNA is filed under the name uncultured bacterium. Its description in RNAcentral is "partial 16S ribosomal RNA". It matches the Rfam family "Bacterial small subunit ribosomal RNA", at positions 509 to 807 of the family's 1533-position model. The record is from RNAcentral.